RNAcentral lists this transfer RNA (70 nucleotides) under Bunocephalus coracoideus (banjo catfish). RNAcentral's name for it is "tRNA-Thr". It matches the Rfam family "tRNA". Rfam says of the family: Transfer RNA (tRNA) molecules are approximately 80 nucleotides in length. Lineage: Eukaryota; Metazoa; Chordata; Actinopteri; Siluriformes; Aspredinidae. The record is from RNAcentral.
GCCCUAGUAGCUUAAACAAAGCGCCGGUCUUGUAAUCCGGAGAUCGAGAGUUCAAGCCCCUCCUAGCGCC